This 309-nucleotide long non-coding RNA is filed under the name Homo sapiens (human). RNAcentral describes it as "non-protein coding lnc-DHX30-2:1". The record is from RNAcentral. Lineage: Eukaryota; Metazoa; Chordata; Mammalia; Primates; Hominidae.
GGCCCUGUGAUUCCAGAGGUCCCCUUUGAACCAUCGAAGCCCCCAGUCAUUGAGGGGCUUAGCCCCACUGUUUACAGGAAUCCAGAGAGUUUCAAGGAAAAGUUCCUUCACAAGACCCACGAGAACCCGGUGGUACCCAUAGGUUGCCUGGCCACGGCGGCCGCCCUCACCUACAGCCUCUAUUCCUUCCACCGGGGCAACAGCCAGCGCUCUCAGCUCAUGAUGUGCACCUGGAUCGCCGCCCAGGGUUUCACGGUCACAGCCAUCUUGCUGGGUCUAGCUGUCACCGCUAUGAAGUCUCAACCCUGA